This 253-nucleotide ribosomal RNA is filed under the name uncultured bacterium. RNAcentral's name for it is "partial 16S ribosomal RNA". It matches the Rfam family "Bacterial small subunit ribosomal RNA", at positions 524 to 776 of the family's 1533-position model. The record is from RNAcentral.
UACGUAGGUGGCAAGCGUUGUCCGGAUUUACUGGGCGUAAAGGGCGCGUAGGCGGCCUUGUAAGUCCUGUGUGAAAUCCCCCGGCUCAACUGGGGAACUGCACAGGAGACUGCUUGGCUUGAGUUCGGGAGAGGGAAGCGGAAUUCCGGGUGUAGCGGUGAAAUGCGUAGAUAUCCGGAGGAACACCGGUGGCGAAGGCGGCUUCCUGGACCGACACUGACGCUGAGGCGCGAAAGCUAGGGGAGCAAACGGG